RNAcentral lists this ribosomal RNA (433 nucleotides) under uncultured bacterium. Its description in RNAcentral is "partial 16S ribosomal RNA". It matches the Rfam family "Bacterial small subunit ribosomal RNA", at positions 29 to 507 of the family's 1533-position model. The record is from RNAcentral.
AACGAACGCUGGCGGCAGGCCUAACACAUGCAAGUCGAGCGAGAUCUUCGGGUCUAGCGGCGGACGGGUGAGUAACGCGUGGGAAUAUGCCUCUUGGUACGGAAUAGCCUCGGGAAACUGGGAGUAAUACCGUAUGUGCCCUUGGGGGGAAAGAUUUAUCGCCAAGAGAUUAGCCCGCGUUGGAUUAGGUAGUUGGUGGGGUAAUGGCCUACCAAGCCGACGAUCCAUAGCUGGUUUGAGAGGAUGAUCAGCCACACUGGGACUGAGACACGGCCCAGACUCCUACGGGAGGCAGCAGUGGGGAAUCUUAGACAAUGGGGGCAACCCUGAUCUAGCCAGGCCGCGUGAGUGAUGAAGGCCUUAGGGUUGUAAAGCUCUUUCAGCUGGGAAGAUAAUGACGGUACCAGCAGAAGAAGCCCCGGCUAACUCCGUG